Decorospora gaudefroyi is the source of this 142-nucleotide non-coding RNA. The record is from the annotation of a GenBank genome assembly. Lineage: Eukaryota; Fungi; Ascomycota; Dothideomycetes; Pleosporales; Pleosporaceae.
GGGCGCUUGGUCUAGGGGUAUGAUUUGUAAGCGGUCUCACUCAUUCCCUGGUUAACAACUCCUAACCAACGUGCUAGUCGCUUCGCAUAAUCACAAUGUGCGUACUUGUGAAAGGUCGUGGGUUCAAUUCCCACAGCGUCCA